This 404-nucleotide ribosomal RNA is filed under the name uncultured prokaryote. RNAcentral's name for it is "bacterial SSU rRNA". It matches the Rfam family "Bacterial small subunit ribosomal RNA", at positions 355 to 776 of the family's 1533-position model. RNAcentral also lists the same sequence under 1 other name. The record is from RNAcentral.
UGGGGAAUAUUGGACAAUGGGCGCAAGCCUGAUCCAGCAAUGCCGCGUGAGUGAUGAAGGCCUUAGGGUUGUAAAGCUCUUUUACCCGGGAAGAUAAUGACUGUACCGGGAGAAUAAGCCCCGGCUAACUCCGUGCCAGCAGCCGCGGUAAUACGGAGGGGGCUAGCGUUGUUCGGAAUUACUGGGCGUAAAGCGCACGUAGGCGGCCCAUCAAGUCAGAGGUGAAAGCCCGGAGCUCAACUCCGGAAUUGCCUUUGAGACUGAAGGGCUAGCAUGUGAGAGAGGUGAGUGGAAUUCCGAGUGUAGAGGUGAAAUUCGUAGAUAUUCGGAAGAACACCAGUGGCGAAGGCGGCUCACUGGCUCAUACUGGACGCUGAGGUGCGAAAGCGUGGGGAGCAAACAGG